UACGUAGGGAGCAAGCGUUGUCCGGAAUCAUUGGGCGUACAGAGCGCGUAGGUGGCUGCAUAAGUCCGUUGUGAAAGUCAAAGGCUCAACCUUUGAAAGCCGAUGGAUACUGUAGAGCUUGAGACCGGAAGAGGUAAGUGGAACUGCGAGUGUAGAGGUGAAAUUCGUAGAUAUUCGCAAGAACACCAGUGGCGAAGGCGGCUCACUGGCCCGGUACUGACGCUGAGGUGCGAAAGCGUGGGGAGCAAACAGG
This 253-nucleotide ribosomal RNA is filed under the name uncultured bacterium. RNAcentral describes it as "partial 16S ribosomal RNA". It matches the Rfam family "Bacterial small subunit ribosomal RNA", at positions 524 to 776 of the family's 1533-position model. The record is from RNAcentral.